GAUGAACGCUAGCUACAGGCUUAACACAUGCAAGUCGAGGGGAAACGACAUCGAAAGCUUGCUUUUGAUGGGCGUCGACCGGCGCACGGGUGAGUAACGCGUAUCCACCCUGCCCAUCACUUGGGAAUAACCUUGCGAAAGUAAGACUAAUACCCAAUGAUAACCCCCGAGUGCAUCGGAAUGGGACGAAAGAUUUAUCGGUGAUGGAUGGGGCUGCGUUUGAUUAGCUUGUUGGCAGGGUAACGGCCCACCAAGGCAACGAUGAGUAGGGGUUCUGAGAGUCAGCUACACCAGAUUUGAGCUGCGGUCCGGACCAAAAUGCUAGGGGACGGAGGAGUGUGGAAUACUAGGCACUGAGCGAGAGCCUGACCCAGCCAAGUAGGGUACAGGAAGACGGGGCUAGUAGUUGUAAGCUGCUUGUAUAAGGGAAUAAAGUGGGUAACGUGUGACUUCUUGCAGGUACCUAAUGAAUAAGGAACGGCUAAUUACGUG
RNAcentral lists this ribosomal RNA (492 nucleotides) under uncultured bacterium. RNAcentral's name for it is "partial 16S ribosomal RNA". It matches the Rfam family "Bacterial small subunit ribosomal RNA", at positions 28 to 507 of the family's 1533-position model. The record is from RNAcentral.